This 5132-nucleotide long non-coding RNA is filed under the name Dicentrarchus labrax (European seabass). RNAcentral describes it as "lncRNA (ENSDLAG00005034085.1)". Lineage: Eukaryota; Metazoa; Chordata; Actinopteri; Moronidae. The record is from RNAcentral.
AAUCUAUACGGGAAAAAAUGGAGCUCCUCAUUAUGUUUUUACAGUCACAAAGCUGUGAGACAUGCUGGAGGACUGUGAGGCAUUUGUAAAUCAUUUGGUGUGCGUUUGCAAUAAGCAGACAGAUAUGUGACACAGAGCUUUGCAUUUUUAAACGCCUGUGCUUAUAUUCUUACUCAUUACCAGACGCUCCAGUUCUGUCUUCUUAAGCGUUCCCCACAUUGAGAUUCUUUUUUUUUUGUUCGUGACACAUUUGACAAAAUUUUCAUGAGAUCCUCUUCAGAGUAUAUUAUCAAUAUUUGACUUAGCCUACUGGUUCAACAAAGCCUGUCAAACAUGACUGAUGCUCCAUCCAGUUGGCAAAGGCCCGACUGAGAAGAUGUUCAUAUUAUGUUCUUCUCAGAUGUUAUACUAUGCAAACACCUAAAUUACUUCUGAACCAAAAUCAUGUCAAACAAGAUAAAGGAAAACAAUCUGCUAACAAGAAAACGUGUUUCUGGGACACCUAAUGAUAAAGAUUCUGCCUGAACUUGUCUCAGCCGCUUUAAAUCUUGUAUAGUCAGCAGUACUUAGCAGGCAGUUUAAUGUGGGGGUUUAAAAAGGGAGGGAGGGGUUGGAGGUCUGGUGGAAAAAAUACAAUGAAUGCAAUGUCGUCAUCCUGUUCAUGAGGGGAGUCCCUGCAAUUCCCUGCGCUUAUCCCACCAGAUGCGUAGGAUGCUUUAAUAUACAUCCUGGAAAAAAAAAAAUCAACUCAGCUUCCUGUCGAGGGACCCUCCACCGCAACCCAGCGUGCUUCAGCCGACAGCGUGACUCUCUGCUGAACUCUCCCAUGAUAGCACUUCAGACUAUGAAUGAAAACUGUUCAGCUUCCCAUAAUGUCAGAAGACAAACAAGCAGGAAUCCAAACUUACUCUGCACCGGCCGGAUCCUCUCCACUCAAUAGGUUUGUAUCCAGCUCUGCAGUUCCCAGACUCUCAGAGGUGUUUUGGUUAGGAAGACAACCUGAUGAUGUGGAAUUUCCUUUGAUGGCAGCUGAAAACAUGCUGUCGUAAAUUCCCCUGGAAGUGUUGCAGGGGGAAGCCACGCACAAACACACACACACUCUUAAACACACUAUCUGUGCUGCCAGUGCUGGAAGUCUGCAGCAACACCCAGUAAAGACUUGUAAAUAGAAGGGAGGGAGGUGGUGGUGGAGGGAGUUAGGGAGGCGGGGUGGGGCGGGAGGAUAAGUAGAGUGAGGAGAAGUUCCACAUUACAUCACCAGCAGCUGUUGACAGGCCUGUGUUUAUUAACUAACUGCCAGGGCUGGAGGAGUCACACCACAUGCCCUCAUGCCCAAAUUGACAAGAUGAGACAAUGCUCACUUGCUUCUAAAACACUCAAAUGAAAGACGUGCAGCUAUGUGCAAGUACCAACAAUUUGCAGACAUGCGGACGCACAUUUCUUUUGGUAAACACACAAAAAAACAAAAAUGCUUGGAAUGUCUCAGCCAAGACACAGUCCACGUUUAUUUCUCAGAAUUCCAUUUUUGCCCUAUUUCUCUAUUGUUACCUGUCUUCUGUUUACACUGGCUAUGAGACUUGCUGACUAGACUAGAAGAGCUGCUUUCCUGACUCAGAUAGCACUAACUGUAAUGGUAUUACUGCAAAGCAAGAGCUGCUGAUGCAUUCCUCAAGUGUCUUGGCUUGGCAGAGUCCCCAGCCUCUUAGCUCAGCCUGUAUUUCUCUCCCUCCCCUUCUCUGUCUCUCUUUCCUUUCUUGCCUUCUCAUUUAAAUGGAGGCACAUGACUCCUCGCUUUACUGCCAAGUUGACUUCUUUAUGCCGGCAGCCACCAGCUCUCUGCUUUUCAUUGGCCUCUCUGCAGGGCACUCCUGCAUUCCAGGCUGCCACCCAUCCUCGUAGCCUCAAAGAGGUUGAAUCAACCUUAUCCCACAUGUCAUAUUUAGCUUAUUUUUCACUUUUGUAUUCUUUUCUUUUAGAAUGCAUCAAACUGCAUUAACUUAAAAAAGUGCAUUAACUUAAAAUAAACUUUGAAUUUCAUGUUUCUAGCCUGUUGCCUGGGUGUAAGAGGCCUUCAGCUAUAGCAUCGUCCACCCACUGUUUGUCAUCCCUAACCACUGUGAACAAAUGCUCCGCUUCAGCCCAUCUCUGGUGCAUUCCUUGUGGUCUCAAAUGCAAUAAUUUCUCCCAUAAUUCCAUUCUGUUGUCGCAUUCUUCCCUUCUAAACUCACUGCAUUGCAACAUUGUUCGCUCACAGAGACAGAAUGAGGCUGGGCUUGAGUGGGCUGACGACAUUGCAAGACUUUGGGCUGUGAAGAGCUGAGAGAUAAAAGACGUCAUAAAUCGCACUGAAAAAUUAGUUUAAAACAAUUUCUGUGUUGUUUUCAAGCUUGGCGAACAGCCAGACCAGACAAAAGAACAUGAUCCCAAGUCGCCCCUUCAUCACAGGCAUUCAAUUAAACCUAAAUGUCAGGAGCUAAUCAGAUAAAAAGCGGCAUUGUAUUAUGCUGAUUGGCAUCAAAUGUUAUGAGGGAGAAGGGUAAUAAUAUAAGAAGACUGACCAUGUCAUUUUCAGUUAGCAUUUGAUAAUGGAAAUCUUUGAUUUCUUAAUUGGAAGCUUGUGAUGUAUUCUUUUAAUCUAACAGAAAAGAGGAAAUGUCACCAAAUUAAAAUGUUUAAAAUGACAAUUUGUCAUGCAGAAACGUAAAAUUUCCACAGUACAUAAUGUAGAGGUUAUAUGUGUAAAAUAAAAACUCCACAUCCAAGACAGUUACAGCUUUUAUUUUUGAUCCCUCUGAUAUUGUAAAUGUCUUCACUGUCAGCACUCCUAAUUUGAAAUUUUAUCUGGUCCAUCAUAAACCCGAAUGUGGGACAGAUGCAGUUUGCCACCUGAAACAUCAUGAGAACAACUCUGCAUGUGCAUCGUGUGAGUAUGUGUAUGCAUGUGUGAGCACUUGUGCACUCAUUUACAGUUUAAAUCCCCAUCCUUACUAAAUCACAUGCUGUCUUCCAUAUCUCCCUACUCCACUCACCCUGAUAUGCUCUUAUCUUGAAGUAAGGAAAGAAAAACACUGCUCCUCUCCUUGCUGUUAUUCUUUAUUUUUAUUGUCAAGAAGCUUAAGUCAUCAUCUUGGCAUCACAAGAAACCCAUCAUGGCAGGUUUGGGGGCAUAAAUCUGGUCAGCUUUAAUGGUAUAUUUGCACAAAAUAUGAUCUGUUGGCAGCUACAGUGCAGAAAACCAGGCUUGAGAAUCCCAUUUUGGUCAAAACCUUGCACAUACAUUGACAUGCACAUGUGUUUGUGUCCUGAGAGCUCAGGGGGGAGUUAAUGGCUAAUGAUCCAGCAACAUACAUCUUGACUUGCGGCACAUCCGGAUCCAUCUAAGGCAUGAGGUCCUACUCUUUCAUGUCACAGGUCAGAGCCCUGCAGGAGCACUGAGGAAACGAUUUGUGUGGAGCACCGGAGAGAGGAAAGCCAUAUAUAUUCUGCAGCAGUUCAGAGAGGAUGCAAGGAGACGGGUCAAAGCAUUUAGUAUGCAUGCAACGACAUGAGGAGCUCUAGUCCUUUACAUUGCAACCAUGCCUACACUCAGUGAAAGAAAUGAUCCCUUCAUCUGACCCUCCUCUUUCCAUUGGCAUCUGCACAUGGUCACUGACUCUCUAUUUUCACUAUUUGUGCAGAGUGCUGAGCCUAGCAACUGCCAUGAAAGUGGCAAGUGGAGUCAAUACAAUGCCUCAGUUACACAACCCGAGGCUUUAAAUAUUGUAACCAACUGAAUACUGCUUCUUAUUUUCAGGUGAUUAUACACUAAUAAAAUCAUAACCAUCAUUCCAUUUCCUCCCAAAUAUUACAUAAUGGACCUUUAAUUAUGUUUUUAUUUUAGGCAAACAAGACAAAAAGCGAAACUGACUGACCCAGUGAAUAUGGUGAAUACCUUGGACUGAAAUUUCGAAGGUGAAUGGGUCAAAUAUGGAAAGGACAGGAUUUCAAGAAAUGACACUGGGAAACAUGAAAAUAAAACAGAUGCACAGAUAGAUUAUACCCAUUUCAAUAUCACCCCAUCUUCUUCCAGACAUGCUUUCUCAUUCAACCACCAUGCCUCCCUUUGGCUUGCUAGCUGUAAUUGUGGAUAAGACCAGAGCAGUCAUAAAGCAGUCAACUCCGCAGCUUGCUGCAAUACUUACGGCUCCUUCGGUGUACCUGUUUUAUGGACAUCCCUCAGCAUGUAUUGUCUACUAUCAGUAGAACAUUUUGAACGAGACUACCACAAACAUCUGUAAUUGAAACACCAGACGAUCCCGAAGGUCUGGAUAGGCCGCAAAGCUGUCGAGACAGAACAUAGAUGGAAAUUUAUGAAGAAAACAAAUAUGAGCUUCACUUUUGACAUGAAACUCUUUAAAGUCUGCUGAUAUAGUUGCAUGCACGAUGUGGCUAGAACUAAUAAUAAUGUGGCCCAGGGCUAAUUGACAUACCUGAAUGCUGGAAAACAUAUUGAAUCUGAUCAGACUUGUGAAAUCAUCAUUUUCAAGUCUCCCAUGUGAAUAUUUCUAAGGAGCAGGAAAUGGCUUUGUGCAUGGCCCCCGCUACUCUGACAUGUUGGAAUGCCACAUCAAUGUUAUUCGCAGCUGCACUGGGAAUCCGACGAUGUCCCCUUUCACAUCAGCGGCCCCAGAAAGCAUAUUUAUUUGCAUGUAAGCAUGGACUCAAGAGAGACAAGCUCAGUACAUACGGUAAAGAUUUCAUCUUCCACAAAUCAGAAAGAAUUGUGGAGUUUGUGCUGAUGUCAGCUACUUUGAGUCCACAGGAGAUCAUAGUAAGGAGAUUUACAUGAACUAAGAUGUAAUGCAGAGUAGAAAAAAAGGGAAGAGAUUAUCCAGCUUUGACAUUGUCAGCCCUUUGUCUAGCAAGAGACAUAUUGUAGUGAUAAAUUGCGGUUACUCUCCUGAUGCUGUUUUGUAGAUUCACAUAAUGGCUGUAUUUUAUAUUUAAUCAAAGAGCUUUUUUAAAGCAGCAAACAAGGCUGGGCAUCCUGCCAAGUCUUUACUGUACAAAUUGACUUAAUUUCAUUGAAUUAUGGUCAAUGAUUUCCUGACGUGGACUGCGUUCCAUUUGUCUCGUCUCUGUCCAUUCUCCCA